UACGGAGGGUGCGAGCGUUAAUCGGAAUAACUGGGCGUAAAGGGCACGCAGGCGGGCUUUUAAGUGAGAUGUGAAAUCCCCGGGCUUAACCUGGGAAUAGCAUUUGAGACUGGGAGUCUAGAGUACUGUAGGGGGGGGUAGAAUUCCACGUGUAGCGGUGAAAUGCGUAGAGAUGUGGAGGAAUACCGAAGGCGAAGGCAGCCCCCUGGGAAUGUACUGACGCUCAUGUGCGAAAGCGUGGGGAGCAAACAGG
RNAcentral lists this ribosomal RNA (253 nucleotides) under uncultured bacterium. RNAcentral describes it as "partial 16S ribosomal RNA". It matches the Rfam family "Bacterial small subunit ribosomal RNA", at positions 524 to 776 of the family's 1533-position model. The record is from RNAcentral.